Molecule: long non-coding RNA, 1001 nt
Filed under: Ananas comosus (pineapple)
Lineage: Eukaryota; Viridiplantae; Streptophyta; Magnoliopsida; Poales; Bromeliaceae
Description: long non-coding RNA (ACOM_LNC042295)
Source: RNAcentral
GCCGGGUUCAAGCAAGUCUAAUUUCGAGUCGAGCAAGCUCAAGUUCUAGACAAGCCACUUGAAGUUUUUAGCAUCAUACAAUUCAUACUUUAAUUUUUCUAGAACAUUAUCUAAAAUUUAAUUUAAAAAUAUAUCUAAUAAUUCAACAUACAAAAUAAAUAUAUGUAUACAGUAUUAUAAUAUUAAAAAAAUAAUUAGAGGAUAAACUAUGCGAGCAAGUAAAAGAGAGGAAAAGAAAGAGUAAUUAGAAUAGGAUUUUGCUUGUUUGGUUUUGUGUGCCAACAAACAUACCCAAUAAUCAAAACUCUAUAUACAUAUAAUUAAAAUACAUAAUAUAUAUUAUUAUAUAUAAUGAAAAUAUAUAUUAUAUAUAUUUAUAAAUAUUCUUAAUCUAUAUUAUAUAUAAAAGCACGCAUUUCAAAUUUUGGUGUAAGACUUCCAGAUAGUCCUAUAAAAAAAUAUAUAAUAGGGCUAAAACUCUUAACCCGGCUUAAGUAUUUUGAGCGAUGGCUAGGCUUAAGAGGUUAAGAGAGUUAAGUGUGCUAGGACGGGAGUAGUCCUAGAAUAGGUGACCCUCUAGGAAGUUGAGGCGUCACAGUUCGUAUCAGAGCCAAUUAUCAACCGGAAGUAUGAGAUGAGUUUCGGCUGAGCAAUGAUUAUACAGCGGGGAGAGCGAGACUCUCACACUGUUAACUAUUAUGGAUGGAGCGCAGCUCACCGCAAGAUCGGUUUAGACUAAUGGGGCGAGUCUCAUAUUGCUUGAUACUUGUGAGUCUCAGUGUAGUACACUGAACUUUAGCAAAUUGCGAAAUUCGAGUGUUAGAAUAGUAAUUGAAACUAUUCUAAAUCUUGUGAGGGGUUGUCGAGAGGUUUUUGACAUGUUACUUGAGUAAUUAAGUGGCCGGAAGAGUGAAAGUGCAUUGGAGAAUGCGAAUUCUGUUUUUUGUAUUGAGUACCGGUACCGCUCAGCCGAGUACCGGUACCCAAUGCAGCAGCUGCGU